Tachysurus fulvidraco (yellow catfish) is the source of this 309-nucleotide long non-coding RNA. RefSeq lists it as uncharacterized. The record is from RefSeq and is a predicted model, not a curated record. NCBI's taxonomy places the organism in Eukaryota, Metazoa, Chordata, Actinopteri, Siluriformes, Bagridae. The transcript has 3 exons.
GUCAAAAGUAACGGCGUUACAGUAACGCGUUACUGCCCAACACUGGAAAUACACAUCAUGGUUCAUCAUUAUGAAGUUAACAGUUAAAGAGACUUGACCAAUGAUUUUGCUUUAUUAUCCACAGCGACACAGCGAGCUCAUUUGGUUGUGUUCAUGUUUGGUACAGUGGGGGUUGUGUUUGUGAAUGCUGUUGUGUUAUCAGUAGAGCUGAUCCUAAAAGCACGAAAUGGUGAGCGUACAGUGGAUCUGCGACUUAUUCUCCUACCGACUGAAAGCGCAUUUGCUGCGUGCUGCCUUGCUUUAAAAAUA